ACUAAGUUAUCGAACAUCAAACUGUAUGACCUGAAAUUAUAAAAUAACUAUGUCAAUAGAUAAAAUAUAAUAAUCCUCAAUUCCAGAGUAGUUGGAGCUCGCUUUAUAAUCACUUACAAUCCAUUUUACUCCUUCUGGACCCGUUACACUCCAAAUCUACAAUCAAGUGACAAUAUCCUCAGAAAAGAACUAGAGGGAAAAAGGAGAGAAUAUAUGCAUACAAUAUUAGUUAAGCACAACUAAGAAAGUUUACAAUGCACUGUAGAUAUAUACAUAAGCAACACAAAAUAUAAGAGAAAUAUAAGACAUAAAUGAUCACACCAAUGUAGAAAGCAAAAACAUGUAUACUAUAAGCUAGACUUGGUGGGAUUUCACUUAAGAAGAAGCUGUAGUUCUUAUGUAAACCUCAAUUUUUCUGCUGUCAAAACACUGCCCCAAGUAGGUUAUUUUUUUUCACUCUAGAAUAACAAUUCAGUUUUUGGUUUCAAAACCAACUCAAACUAUCCAAAUUUUCCAGUUGAAUAUCAAAAUCUAAUGUUAACCAACUAGUUUAGAGCUACUAUAUAUUCAAAAUAAAGUCAAAAAAACUAGUUCACAACUAAAUAUUACUACCUGCAGCCUUCACCAAAGAGCCAGCUUUUUAUAGAUUCAAAAGGCACCUAUUUUUCUAUCCAGAAAGUAGAUUUAUUGAUCAAAAUUAAGUAUACCGAAAUGGUUAUCAUUAAGUAAUUGGCUAAUGCACAACACCACCAGACCAACCAUCCGGGUAGUGAAAAGAUAAGUUAUCACAGCUACGAACUAACUAUAUGUUAAAUACCAAUCUGCAGAAGUUCAUGGACUUUUCAUGCCUAAAAUCACACCAAACUCUUGCAGCUGCAAUGGAUAAGAUGACACAUUUAGUCAACUUUUUACUUGUAAGCAACACUUACUUGAGUAGACUAUUCAGAUAACUGAUUGAAGGCCAUAUAAUUCUAUAGUGCUACUGAAUGUAGUCACGUACUGUAAUUGUAUGUGGAAAAAGAUACUUCCAUUAGUAGACAAUAUCUUCUAUAGCCAUAAGAGAUUUUUUUGUGGGUCGUUCACAAUUGGAAUAUUCAAUUGUAUCUAAAUAUAAAGAGUUUUAAAAAAUGGGUUUCAACUAUUGAGAAUUGAAUGACAUUUUUUGAAUCAAUAAUAAGUAUAAACUACAUAAAAUAUGCAUGUAACUUAUAUUUUUAUCUACUUGUGGCAUAAAGGUGGCUUCCUAAAAAAUAUAUUGUAGACAAAGGUGGCAGGGGAGUAGCAUGGACUGAAAUAAACUUAAAACCAUAGUUGCUAAAAUAGUCAAUGUUACUGGUACAUGAAUUAGUAAGUAGGAAAAUGAAUUCAAUCUAUAAAAACCAAUGAAAACACUAGUUCACUGAAAUAUGAUCAUCGUCAUUGGGUUGAUUUAUCAUAUGUCAAAUGGUAUUAAUUGUUGCUCAAUUUAUUGUUAUUGAAACUCUUGUUUACUUUUGUUUAUCCAACUAACAGUAUGAUAAUUACAGUGAAAAAUCAAGAUCCCAAGUGCAAAGAUAUAUUUCUCAGUUCAUGCUAACUCUUUGCUUCAAUGUUAAAGUCUUUAACAGUUACUUUUCGAUGUUGGAACAUCAGAAAAUCCAAAAGACCCAAAUGGUUUUAAUACUGAUAAAGUUCAAUGAAAUUAUGGAAGCAUGUAAGUCGAAAUUAUUUUCAACUAUCAUGAAGCUUUCAUGUUAUAGAAAGAAUCAUGUUGCCUUAAGAGUUUAGAAAGAAAAAAGAGUAAGGACAUAUAGAUCUUAUUUCCACUUCUUGCAAGUUUACAUGAGAUUAGAUUCCGAAGACAAAAAUUAAAGGAGGAAAAUUUAAACAAUAGAAAACUCAAAUAGUAGCGCUCCGAAAGAUAAAGAUGAGUAGUACGUGAGACAGUAAAUACUAAAGCUAAAACUAUGACCGGCAAUGAUCGUUUUGGAACUUUGAAGGGAAAGUUCAUGUAAUUGAAUGUUGAAGUAACUCUGUUUGUUUGUACUACUAGGAAUUAAAACAUUGGAGUGAGAGAUUAAUAAAAUUCUUGUGAUUCACUUGUGAAAAGUUAUCAUGUAUGAUGCAUACUAGAAACAUAUCAUGCAAGCACGGUAAUUGAAAAGGUAAAAAAGCAACAGACAUGAUUAUAUAAAGACCAAGAAAGAGAAAUAGUGCAUAAAUGCAUUAUUUGUGACAACAUAGUGAUAAUUAGUCUUAUCACUACUUUGCUACAUUAAAACCACAAUAAACAAAAAUCAUAAUUUACAGUUUCAACAAUAUAAAAGAAAAAAACACAACUUGAAUCCAAUAUCUAGAUAUACAUCAUCACUCUUGCACUCUAAGGAAAGGCCGUCCUUGUAUAUAAAAGUUAAGUUCAGAGUCGAGAGUUAAAAAAAGAUAAAUGGUCAAAUUGUUGAGUAGAAAUAAAUAUAACACAAAAGCAUUUGACAAAAAAAACACCAUACCAAAAAACAUUCACGUAUACGGCUAUAGAGACUUGAAUAACCUAAUGAUGCUUAACCAAACUUGCAUUUAAAUGCUAGGAAAUCACAUACAAAGAAUAAGAAAAGAAGAAAUACCUUAUAUGUACUGUGUUAUGGAGAAGAAAUUUAUGUUUUGCCGCAACUUCUUGUCUCUUUCUCUAUCAGGGGAAAGAGAACAAUCAUCAUCAAAUUUUGAAAGUAAUGUAGGACUAUUUCCUUGGCUUAAAAUUUAAAUUUAUGCUUAAUAUAUUCAUUAAAUUAGCUUAUGACCAUUUUACCAAUAGUAUAUUAAGAAUAUGAUAUGCUAGAGCAUACAUUUUGCCUAACAGAUAACAACGUUACCUUAAACUAAAUAUCAAAAUGAACAAUUCACUAGCUCUUUCUGUCUCAUGGUAUAUAAGAAUAAUGAUCCAACAACAACAACAACAACAACCCAGUAUAAUCCCACUUAGUGGGGUCUGGGGAAGGUAGUAUGUACGCUGACCUUACCCCUACCCUUGGGUAGAGAGGCUAUUUUCAAAUAGACCCCCGACAUCCUUCCCUCCAAGAACUNNNNNNNNNNNCCCCUACCCUUGGGUAGAGAGGCUGUUUCCAAAUAGACCUCCGGCAUCAUUCCCUCCAAGAACUUCCCACCUUGCUCUUGGACAGACUCGAACUCACAACCUCUCGAUUGGAAGUGGGGGUUGCUUACCAUCAGAGCAACCCCUCUUGUCACAGAAAUCAUAAUACAAUAUAAGAAUAAUGAUCCAUAAUACAGAAAUCAAAGUACAAAAAUAAAAAUAAAAUGUAAAUGAAAUUUGAAAGAGUUAUCAAUCCAACCUGACUAGAAGGCCAAAUGUGUAGUGCUAUACAAAAGAGACUAAGAAUAAUAUUCUUAAUUGAACCAUAUUUUGAACUACCUAAAAUCUCAAUGAAACAUUGGACUACCGAAAAUCGCAAUGCAACAUAGUUUAAUAGCCAGAACCCACAUGUUAUUCACAUGAAUCAGCUAUCUCAUUCCAAAAGCAAUCAUCUAAUAGAACUCAAACUCGAACACCCAAUUUAAAUUUAAAAAUACACUUUUAACAUUAAUCUUCUCAGUGUCCAACAUAUCAUAUUAGAAAAGUGUUGUAGUACAUUUAGCAGCUACAAAGACCAAAUUAAAAUUGAAAAUAGAGUUUAACAGAAACAAUAAUAGUUCGUAAGUCUGUUAUGCAUCAUAUAAUCAGUUCACAAGCAUAAAGGUGGAAAAAAAUAUCGAUUACAACUUUGCAAAUAAAAUGGUAAUGAUCCACCCAAAACUCAAAAUUGAAAUAAUAUAAUAUUAAUUAAAAUUUUCGAAACAAAAAACAAAGAUAAAAAUUGGCAAAUAAGGCGGUCAAUUAGGAAAAAGAGAUAGGGCAGGAGAGCAAUAUGAGGUUGAUUACUGGGAUGGUUGCCGAUGAUGGGGAGAGAGACAGAAGUUGGGCAGAGGCGGUCGGUUCCUAAACUUCAACAAAUGAGGGAUUUUUGCUUAAUUCAUUAUAUUGUGUUUUCUUGAUUUUGUUUCCAGCCGUCUAGGUUUACUUAGUUGGGAGGAAGUAGUUCAUGAAUGUCCAACAACAUUGGAGGGACCUUUUUUUUUG
RNAcentral lists this long non-coding RNA (4108 nucleotides) under Nicotiana benthamiana. RNAcentral's name for it is "long non-coding RNA (NBEN_LNC031670)". The record is from RNAcentral. Lineage: Eukaryota; Viridiplantae; Streptophyta; Magnoliopsida; Solanales; Solanaceae.